UCCCGUGGCCCCGGGGCUCAGGGGCAGCCCAGGACUCUCCCUCGCCCGGCUCACGGCCCUGCCUGGGGGGCGCCUCCGGGAGCAGAUCACGAGCCCUGGGGCUCAGCCCUCAGGCGCGUCUAGCUCGGCGGUCACCCCAGUGCCGGGAGGACCCUGAAGACGCGCCCCAGGCGGCCCUACUCAGAGCCUCCUCCCAAGGCCCAGGAAUGCGGCGCUGUCGGAGGUGUGCGCGGUGGCCACACCGCUGUCCGGGUCCCCAAAGCGGGCCCCGCUCCCACUUCUCGCCUUGGCCCCGAACCCUGGGUCCAGCCCCAGCGCUUUGUGUGCGAACACCGCUCCGCCCCGGACCCAGCUCCGCCUUGGGGCCCCUCUCUGCCUGCCCCUCCGUGCCCGACUACACUGCUUCCCCUCCGGCGGGCGACUCAGCCCGGUCCAUCGUGGCGGCUUCCAGGGCGGCAGGCUCCGGGAGUACUCCCGGGGCCGGCUCCAAGGACUGUUCCCCUCCUCCCCACUCCCACUCCGCGGCGGCGGCGGGCGAGAGCGGCGACAUAGGGCCAGGGUCCGGAGCGGUGGAGGCUCCUGGCCGGGGAGCACGUCGCCCCACCCGGCAACGCGAGGAUGGUGGCGGCGCAGUCGGCUGCUUUGGGGUCUCAAGGCACAGGGGACGCGAGGCACAGAUGUCCCACAGCAGCCACUGCGGCUCCCGCAGCUGCUCCGCCGCCGCUGCCCGCCCCUCCCUGCUGCAGCUGGCGUGAUGGCAGCGGCAGCUCUGGACGCCCCACUGCUGCCACCAUCAGCCUUGUGAAAUAGCUUGAAAGAUCUAGCCACGUGAGCAGGACAGAAGUGCACAACAACCAUAUCUUGAUUUCUGUGGACCAGGUGGGGCCCCUGCCAGCCUUGCUAGACAGACCCAGGUGAACAGUCCUUCUAGGGGAUCUCAUCACCAGGCAAGCACGUGGUACGAGAAGAGCAGUCAUUAGGAAGGCCAUUUGGAAAAGCACAUCCUCUCUGUUCACGUGAGAUAUUUUACAUCCUCAUUCCUCAUCGCAAGCUUCCUGGGAUUUGGAGUGUCACAGACAAGAGGGUUGGGGGAGGCCAGUAGGUAUGGAUUUGUUUAUAUUAAAAUGAGCAUAUGAAUAUUUAUAUGUUUAUAUUAAAACAUAUAUGUUUGUUUAUAUUACAAUGAGCAUAUGAAUAUUUAUAUGUUUAUAUUAAAACAUAUAUGUUUGUUUAUAUUAAAAUGAGCAUAUGAAUAUUUCUGUAUACUUCAGAUAAACAUUCUUUUCCAUAAAUAAGCUUCAUCAUCCAGAAGCCAUGUUGAAAGUUGGUAAUCAAGGAUAGGAAGUGUUUCCAAGGGUUGUCAGUGAUUAAAUCAACCUUACCUUAGCAUACAUGUAUGAGAGAAGUUAGAUAAAUUAUACAUAGAGAGAUAGCUAGAUAGAUAAUAGAUAAAUAAGGUAGAUGACAGAUUAGAUACAGAUGAUAAACAGAUAUGCUAUCAGUCUAGAUCUAUUACUCACAGUCAGUCGUAUCACAGUGUAAUUCCAUCAACUUCAUUUGCAGCAAAAGAACAGCCCCUGAUGUACGCCUGUUUCCUGAAUAUUUGGAAAUAUUAAUAUUAAUAUAGAUAGAGUCAGCUUGCCAGUAUAAAGAAUCUAUCUCUCACUAUAGGCAGAGCCAUGUGUUGGAUAUUAUGGAGGAAUAUGUAUUAUUUUAAUCGUUUAAAAGACUAAUAAACUUCUAAUCUACUUUUGGGAGCCUCUGCUCAAGUUCCUGAGGUUCCUACUCUAAAAUCCACAUCACCCUCCAACUGCUCCCUAUGUGAGCCAUUAGGGAGCACAAUGAAUUAGAGAAUGAAUCCUAUUAGCCCACUAAAAAAUUAUCUUUCAAAGGAUGAAGACUGAUGCUAAGGAAAAAGAGAUGAGGCCUCCCUGGUUCCGCAUUAUUACUCCUUCCUUUCUUGGGUUACGGAUUGAACACUGACCUUUUCUUUCACUCUUCUGCAAGACAACCCCAUAAGAAAGCUGAAACCUGCUUUUGUGAAAGCCUAUGAUUACUAUAAGACAGGUGAGCAAAACAGAAUCCUAGAUAAACUCAGUUCUUUCCAGUGUGGUGUCUUUGAUGGAAAAAUAAAAUAAAAGCCAAUGUGGCACAGAGCAAGAAAAUGUUUGAGGCUUGUGUCUAUAAACAAGACUUGGCUGGAAUCCCCAGACCCACGACUUUUUAAAAGGAUAUUUUGUCCCUGCAAUACAGAUACUGAAUGAGGUUGGCAAAUAAAUAUGUAUUUCUAGAGACUCUAUA
Molecule: long non-coding RNA, 2301 nt
Filed under: Homo sapiens (human)
Lineage: Eukaryota; Metazoa; Chordata; Mammalia; Primates; Hominidae
Description: long non-coding RNA NONHSAT163281.1
Source: RNAcentral